CUUGGGCCCACAUGCUGACAACCAUGCCUCCUCCGAAUCCCCCGCCCGGCGCGCCCGCUCGCCUGUCGCCUCCGCCGCCGGAACCAAUCGCGCUCGCGCGCACACCACCGCCGGCAGCGGCCCUACGCACCGUCGCAUCCCUUGCCUGGUGCCGCCGGCGCCACGCGCCACCGGCGUCUUCCACACCUCCGGCUUUCCCCGUCCUCUCCUCCGCCCACGCCCAUUCCGCGGUCGGCGCGGGCCAGGGCGGCGGUCGGAUCCUUGACCCCGCCGCCGUCUUCUCCUCAGGGUGGGCGGAAGCCGGCUGAUCCACGACCACACCGCCGUGGUGGGUCGCCGUCUUCCUCCUCAUGGCGGGCAGGAGCGAGCAGAUCGGCGACCCGGGAGCCGUCUUCUUCCUCAGGAGCUGUUCAGAAGCCUCCUCCCCGAGCGCCGCGCCGAGCAUCCCAUCCUGGCCCCGCUUCUGGAGGGCUGUGGAGUGAGUCGGAGUGAACCACAGGGGACCCAAGAGGUGGGGAUCCAAAGGAGGCGCAUGAAGUACGGUCGUCUUCAACUGCCGUCUGCACGACGUACUGAAGCCUGCCACCGUGGGCUGCGUCUGAGACUGUAAGAGCCUGCAUAUGAAAUCACGGGGGUCAUGAAUGAGCUGCCAUAUGUUGCGCAAACAUUUCUUUAUCCUGGAUACAUGAAGGUUGCGUCAUUUAUCCAGAUAAAGAGUAUUUUUCACCAAGCUGUAAGUGCCUUCUUAACUGCAUAUGCCUUUCUUGAAGUUGAUCUGUUGACUUCUUAAACCAGUAAGUGUAUAUAUUCCUUUGGGACAGUUCUCAGUUAUUUGAAACAUAUCCACUAUUCACUGGGCUAGUGGGAAAAUAAUUUAGCAAUGGAAUAGUUUGCUCAAUUAUUGAAAUUAGUUCUGGUCUAUGAUAAAUUUUUACUAGAUGAUGGCCUCUUUGCCUAUGUUCUAUCAUCAUGUUAUUACAUUGAUUCCCAAAGUAUCAUAUGCUGGGCAUUAUUGAUGUUGUAAACAUCAAGUCUGCUUGGGCCUCUAAUUUGUAUUGAACAAAAGGUUAUGUUGCUAUGUGAAAUUAGGCCUGUGCUAUAUUUGUUAAGAAUAGCUUCAUCACUUAUUUGUGUUAAGUAAAGACAUUUCAACUGCCAUAUACUGCUUGGGUACUAGACAGGCAUGGUUACGUACAUCUCAGUACUUAAAGCAACAGCCUGUAUAGCAGCUCAACAGCCUAUGCAAAUAAGAUAUUACAACAUGCAUUUGUAUCCCAUGAUAAUUUUGAGUCAACUCAGGUUUAAUAUUGUAACUCUACUCCUUGUAGCCUUGUAGGUAACUUGAUUGUCCCAUGCUGGAAAUAAAGUUUCUGCUUCUUUUGCGUAGUUAGUAGGAGUAUGAUGUAGAGCAGUAAUGGCCAUUUGGAUUUGGUUGACAUGUGAAUUUCAUUUGUGUUAUUAAAUUUAAUGCAUUAAAUUGCACACAAAUAGAUUAAGAUCUGACUGUCUGGUUGUCUUUUUGGUCGGUGUCAAAUGUCUGGAAUAACGCAAGGUAUCCUGCCCAGGUGGAAUUCCUGAUGGCCGUACUGACAGGAUCUGAUUUUGACCGGUCAACAUGAACCGACAGGAAUUUCUUCCUGUAGACUGACCAUUAGGAGAAGUUGAUUUCACCUCUCUAGCUGGUCCUAUCUGCCAUCCCUGAUGGCCAGUUGUUAGGAGUGUAACUUAGGCAAAAAGGUGCCCUGGUAUUUUGCUGCCAUUACCUUCUAUCAUGUCCAGUGUAUGAUUUACAAUAUUUGAUAUUGCUGCUUUAGUUUGUUGCUUGAUGUUUUGGAUCCCCCAUUGUUCAUAGAAAUAUCCAUUUUCUGAUAGAGUGGGGCAUGCUCUAAAACUACUUUGCUAAUGGAAUUGGACUCAACCAUUUGUGCUACCUUAGCCCUUAGGGUGAAAACUUGCUGAUUGAAAUUGAGAUAUUGUGUUGUUCAGCUGAAACCAGUUUCUGUAUUUUUACAAUAAUAGUUACGUUUAGUCCUUGCGCCCAAGAAUGGAAAAAUAACUUCAAUUUUUUCUUCCUGUCAUUUAUUGUGCUAUACUUUACCUUACUGCUGAUUUGUUCCUCAGAUAUUAAAAUUCUUUACCUCAUUGCUAUAGAUAGUUUGUCCAUGAAUGAAUAAACAGCUCGGUGAACAUCAGUAUUUAUCCUGGAUACAUUCUCAUGAUUACCAAUGUUGUCAUUCAUUUGUUCUUGGUCACUGUCAAGGUAAAUUUAUGAAUUGAUGUAAAUCAGUGUAUCAUUGAAGCCUCACAGUUCUGUUCUAUGCACAGGCAAGACUGGUAGUAUUGGGGAAGAAAGCAAAAAAACACAACUUAUAUAUCUGGAAAUGAAGCUGGGAGGAUAUCAAGAGAGGUUUCUAAAGUGGAAAAGUGAAGAACUGUGAAGAGCACACUUUGUAACAAGAGAAGUUCGCGUAGCCAUUGCAUGGUUGUUUGCACUCAGCCACCAGCACUUUGAGCAUUUUUUUUAAACCAAGCUUUUUUCGAGCUAUGCUUGCAUCUAUAGAUUAUCCUGGAUGUCCCAUCUGUGGGAAGAAAGUUAAUGCUUGUGGACAUGGCUGGAUCUAAAAACAUAGAAGCAGCAGGACAAACAGGAUUUGAAGCCAAAAUGCAGGCGUGUUAUGCAACCGAUUCUUGUAUGUUUGUAGCAUCUAUGUGUUCCAAACUUCCAAUUGCACUCUGAACAAUGGCUUUCAAGUUUCAAUGAGUCGCUCUGUGUUAUAUGUUUGUAGCAUCUAUGUGUUCCAAACUUCCAAUUGCCUCUGAACAAUGGCUUCCAAUGAGUUGAUCUGUGUAUUUAAUAGAUAGUCAGUUUGGCACUGAUCUUGCCACAUGAAUUGUACCACUGUUAAAAUCUUAUAAUAUUUUAUUACAUGUGCGAUCUAUAAUGUUCUCAAUUUUUCCAGACAACAAAAAUUAACCAAGGGAACACUGCUUUGAAGCGAAUUGUUUAAUCUAUUGCUAAUGGUGAUUCCCAUGUUCCAUUUAGGAACAACAAGCUCACAAUGCUACUACAGGUUCAUUUGAGGAUGACAAAUCCAAAAUCCUGAUGAUUUAUUUUGGAAUUGGACACAUUGAAGUCUUUGAGAAAUUGUAAUUAGGCCUUUCUUUUGUUUCAUUUUGGAUUCGGCAGCAACACUUGUUGAUGUAGUUGAUGUAUAUGUGUCCAUUGUGAUGAUCAAAUGGUUUUGGGGAAAAAGGAAAACCAGCUUCUGGGAAUGAAGCAGCAGGGCCCCAAAUGCUAUGCUGCAUAUAGAUCUUGAGCUGAUCUCUUGGAAGACUAUGACGCUUAUCUUUGUAGAUAAAAUGCUACUUUGGAGUUAAUGUGGUCUGUAGCGUUAGCAUGGGCAAUAUACUAGUUUUGUUAGGUAAAGACAUUUGAACUGCCAUAUACUGCUAGGGUACUAGACAGGCAUGACUACAGCUCAGUAUUUAAUACAAGCAACAGCCUGCAUAGCAGCUCAACAGCCAAUGGAAAUUAGAUACUACAACAUGC
This is a long non-coding RNA of Sorghum bicolor (sorghum), 3550 nucleotides long. RefSeq lists it as uncharacterized. NCBI's taxonomy places the organism in Eukaryota, Viridiplantae, Streptophyta, Magnoliopsida, Poales, Poaceae. The transcript has 4 exons. The record is from RefSeq and is a predicted model, not a curated record.